Molecule: ribosomal RNA, 504 nt
Filed under: Paramecium multimicronucleatum
Lineage: Eukaryota; Ciliophora; Oligohymenophorea; Peniculida; Parameciidae
Description: SSU rRNA
Rfam family: Eukaryotic small subunit ribosomal RNA
Source: RNAcentral
CAGCCGCGGUAAUUCCAGCUCCAAUAGCGUAUACUUAAGUUGUUGCAGUUAAAAAGCUCGUAGUUGAAAUUCGAAUUAGCUGAUAGAGGGCUUAGGCUAUCUAGCAGUUGGUUCUCCGUCUACAAUCCCUCUUGGGCUUCAGGGUUGCAGAGGGCUGAGUAGACAAUUUACCUUGAAAAAAUUAGAGUGUUCCAGGCAGGUUUUCGCCGGAAUACAUUAGCAUGGAAUAAUGGAAUAGGACUUAGGUCUUUUGUUGGUUUUAGGAUCUGAGUAAUGAUUAAUAGGGACAGAUGGGGGCAUUAGUAUUUAAUUGUCAGAGGUGAAAUUCUUGGAUUUAUUAAAGACUAACUUAUGCGAAAGCAUUUGCCAAGGAUGUUUUCAUUAAUCAAGAACGAAAGUUAGGGGAUCAAAGACGAUCAGAUACCGUCGUAGUCUUAACUAUAAACUAUACCGACUCGGGAUCGGAAGGGUAAUAUUUAAGGCCCUUUCGGCACCGUAAGAGAA